Molecule: ribosomal RNA, 120 nt
Filed under: Petromyzon marinus (sea lamprey)
Lineage: Eukaryota; Metazoa; Chordata; Hyperoartia; Petromyzontiformes; Petromyzontidae
Source: RNAcentral
GCCUAUGACAAUGCACGCAGAGUGCGCCUGAUCUCAUCAGUUCUCAGAAGCUAAGCAGGGUUUGAGCAUGGAUAGUGCUGGAUGGAUGACCACCAAGCAUGCCAGGUUUGUCAUGUGGCU